UCUGUUUCAAAUUACCUUUUCAAUUUUUAUGAAUAUAUUUUCAAAUAUUUAUUUUACAUGUUUCUAGUACAACAUAACAUUAUUGCUAUCUUCUCUUAUCAAUUAUCAAUAUAUCUUCAAAUUGUGGUUAUGUUUUUGGAAAUGUUAUUUUUGGUCUAAUGCCUCUGCUGAAACAGCUUUCUUUUAUUGCCUUUAGGAAAAUAGUGAAUGGAAUGAG
This 217-nucleotide unclassified non-coding RNA is filed under the name Hevea brasiliensis (rubber tree). Lineage: Eukaryota; Viridiplantae; Streptophyta; Magnoliopsida; Malpighiales; Euphorbiaceae. The record is from RNAcentral.